This 253-nucleotide ribosomal RNA is filed under the name uncultured bacterium. Its description in RNAcentral is "partial 16S ribosomal RNA". It matches the Rfam family "Bacterial small subunit ribosomal RNA", at positions 524 to 776 of the family's 1533-position model. The record is from RNAcentral.
UACAGAGGUCUCAAGCGUUGUUCGGAUUCAUUGGGCGUAAAGGGUGCGUAGGCGGCGCGGUAAGUCGGGUGUGAAAUCUCGGAGCUUAACUCCGAAACUGCAUUCGAUACUGCUUUGCUAGAGGACUGGAGAGGAGAUUGGAAUUCACGGUGUAGCAGUGAAAUGCGUAGAGAUCGUGAGGAAGACCAGUGGCGAAGGCGGAUCUCUGGACAGUUCCUGACGCUGAGGCGCGAAGGCCAGGGGAGCAAACGGG